This 489-nucleotide ribosomal RNA is filed under the name uncultured bacterium. RNAcentral describes it as "partial 16S ribosomal RNA". It matches the Rfam family "Bacterial small subunit ribosomal RNA", at positions 28 to 507 of the family's 1533-position model. The record is from RNAcentral.
GACGAACGCUGGCGGCGUGCUUAACACAUGCAAGUCGAACGGAAAGGCCCCCACCUUGGUGGGGGUGCUCGAGUGGCGAACGGGUGAGUAACACGUGGGUGAUCUGCCCUGUACUUCGGGAUAAGCUUGGGAAACUGGGUCUAAUACCGGAUAGGACCAUGGUUUAGUGUCUCAUGGUGGAAAAAUUAUUGUUUUGGUGCAGGAUGAGCUCGCGGCCUAUCAGCUUGUUGGUGGGGUAAUGGCCUACCAAGGCGUCGACGGGUAGCCGGCCUGAGAGGGUGGACGGCCACAUUGGGACUGAGAUACGGCCCAGACUACUACGGGAGGCAGCAGUGGGGAAUAUUGCACAAUGGGCGCAAGCCUGAUGCAGCGACGCCGCGUGGGGGAUGACGGCCUUCGGGUUGUAAACUCCUUUCGUUAGGGACGAAGCCACACCUUUUUUGGGUGUGGUGACGGUACCUUUGUUAAGAAGCACCGGCUAACUACGUG